CGGUUCGGCUUUUGGAAGAGACCCACGACGACGACGACCCAGCUGUGAGGACCGCCGUCGCCGCUGUUGGCUCGCUAUCAGUUGGCCUAUUCAGUCAGUAGGGAAAAAUACGUUCUCCGAGCGAGAGAUAACGUAUGUUCUGCGCGGUUCGCGGCAAAAGAAGAAGACGCGCGGCUUCGAGUUCGACCAACCGAGUGUGUUCCGCGCGUUUCGAUCCGAAGGCGAGAUAGUGUUUUCGAGCUGUGGAGACCGAGGAGACGAGUGCAGGCGACUUUUCUUGUGAAUUUUUGGUCCGGGAAGGAGAAGGACUUUCUUGGCUUGCUUGGCUUGACGACGUUAACGACGGAAGAACGCGGCGGCAAACUAGGAAACGGUGUGACCAGGGUCAGGGUUGCCGAAAAUCGAAAAAGCACGUGACUGGAGUCAGACGAAUGGGAAACAGUCGGGAGAUUGAAUACAGUGAGAAGUGAGCGUCAGUGAAACUAUUGUCAGUUUGAUUCCAUUUGAUGCAUCAAAUACUUUCAAUUGGACGUUUCUUAGGAAAGCCAAUGUGGAUGUUUAAAAGGAUGUAAAAAGUGGUGAAUAAAAAGAAGUGGUGAAUUUGAAGAUAAGAAUUAUCGACGAAUUUUGAUCCAGAAGAAUUGAUAACAGUUGAUGGUAAAAAUAACUUCCAAGCGUGUGAAGAUUAAUUAAGAGAUAGUUGAAGAACAGUGAAGUUCCUCGUGAAAAUCGUAGAAGAAGAAUUCAACACGAAUACGAAGUAAAUCAGAGUUCAAACCAAUCCUCAACGUACAUAUAUCUCUACGGUAAAGAACAAACCGAAUUAAAGCAAUCAGAUUGAAGAAGUUCACCUGUCGGAAAUAGUGCCACUACCACCGACCCCAUACAAUCACAGUCAGAGAUCGAGACAGGACAGAGGGAGGUGCACACUGUGCAACGAAGAGGAAGAAAUAAUAGUCGACGGAAAUCCGUUCCGGCACAGAAGGCGCAGUGCUAGCUAGAGUGAGUGCUCACACGGGAGGAGGCAUCGGAUGCAGUCCAAAACCAUCAGAAUAAACAAGACGACUGUAUCGACGACGACGACGACGACGGCGACGAGAGCGAUGUAAUUAUGCUAAUCGAGUGCGAAUGAUCCCCGCGCCAUCAUAACAGAAAAGUGGUUCCAGUUAGCACAGAGCACGGAGCUAACUUGGUCCGACGCCGAUCCGGUCAACAGUGAAGUUCGCGUGAAGAGCGAGGGUGGCGCGCGCGCGCGGCCGGCUGCACGCAACCAAAGUGUGUGAAAAGCAAAGCAGGCGUUGAAUAGGCUGUGGUGGUGACCAAGAAGACCAGGAGUGGCGCUCGACUCGAGCGACAGAGAAGCGACAAAUUGAAUUCGGAGAGUGUAGGAGGAAGAUAAGGUGAAAAUCGACGGAAUUGGAAAAACUGCUGCUGCUGGGAGAUCUUAGCCGGACGAAGUGAAGUGAAGUCAAGAUCACGGUCUGCCAGGGGGGUAACUGCUGCAACCUGUCGGUCGGCGACUGAGGAAAGGUGAGUUGUUUGUGUUUAUUUGGUUCACUGCUUGGCUGGUUGGAGCUGGUCAUUCUCCUCCACCCUACUAGCGAAUGGAUGACGGUUAAACGACACAGGUGGCCCCAUGCAGCUCUGCUGUCGAGAGUCGAGUCUCGAUUCGAGACUCGAGACUCGGGACUGAGUUGAGACCGACCGAAACUCAUUACGCCCACGUGUGUGUAUGCAGAGGAAAAUUAGCGUGUCGUUCGGAGGGUUUGCCUUUUGCAUUGGAAUUGGAUUUUGGGUGGUGGCUGCUGUCUCAUUAAUCAGUUUUUUCGCUUUUUGAAAUGUAUAUUAGAAUGUCAUGGAUGACAUUUAUCAGUGUCGCAGUAAAUUUAGAUUAUGACGGGCUUAUGGUUUGUGACAAAAAAUGAGCUACUUCCG
Long non-coding RNA from Aedes albopictus (Asian tiger mosquito), 1935 nucleotides. RefSeq lists it as uncharacterized. The transcript is spliced from 3 exons. The record is from RefSeq and is a predicted model, not a curated record. NCBI's taxonomy places the organism in Eukaryota, Metazoa, Arthropoda, Insecta, Diptera, Culicidae.